UACGGAAGGGGCGAGCGUUGUUCGGAAUCAUUGGGCGUAAAGGGCGCGUAGGUGGUCCUGUAUGUCUACCGUGAAAGCGUACGGCUCAACCGUAUUUUGUCGGUAGAAACUGCAGGACUUGAGGCUGGGAGGGGCUGGUGGAAUUCCCUGUGUAGCGGUGAAAUGCGUAGAGAUGGGGGAGAACACUCAUGGCGAAGGCGGCCAGCUAGACCAGUUCUGACACUGAGGCGCGACAGCGUGGGGAGCAAACAGG
Molecule: ribosomal RNA, 253 nt
Filed under: uncultured bacterium
Lineage: Bacteria
Description: partial 16S ribosomal RNA
Rfam family: Bacterial small subunit ribosomal RNA
Source: RNAcentral